GCUGUGGCUCCGUGGUAGUGCACCUGCCUGGCAUGUGUGAGGCACUGGGUUCGAUUCUCAGCACUGCA
This 68-nucleotide transfer RNA is filed under the name Marmota monax (woodchuck). Its description in RNAcentral is "tRNA.Ala". Lineage: Eukaryota; Metazoa; Chordata; Mammalia; Rodentia; Sciuridae. The record is from RNAcentral.